GACGAACCGUGCGAAUGUUGUUCGGAAUCACUGGGCUUAAAGGGCGCGUAGGCGGGCUGCCAAGUCCGUGGUGAAAUCCUCCAGCUUAACUGGAGAACUGCCGCGGAUACUGGCGGCCUCGAGGGAGGCAGGGGCAUGCGGAACUGUGCGUGGAGCGGUGAAAUGCGUUGAUAUGCACAGGAACUCCGGUGGCGAAGGCGGCGUGCUGGUCCUUUUCUGACGCUGAGGCGCGAAAGCUAGGGGAGCGAACGGG
This 253-nucleotide ribosomal RNA is filed under the name uncultured bacterium. Its description in RNAcentral is "partial 16S ribosomal RNA". It matches the Rfam family "Bacterial small subunit ribosomal RNA", at positions 524 to 776 of the family's 1533-position model. The record is from RNAcentral.